CUUCCUAUCACUAAAGCAUUUUCUGUGUAAUUUGUAGGGUGAGGCUCAUUUGGGUAGGACUUCAACAGUGCUUUAUGGUAAGUGAGAAAUACUUAGGUGACUCUCCCAAGAUGAAUAUUUCUCCAGGCUUCAUGACUACAAUAUUCUUCAUACUUGGUGGAAGGACAUAUGGAGACUCAGUCACACAGACGGAAGACCAAGUUACUGUCCCAGAAGAGACUGUGCUGACCAUAAACUGCACUUAUACAGCCACAGGAUACCCUGCUCUUUUCUGGUAUGUCCAGUAUCCUGGAGAAGGUCCAUGGCUCCUCCUGAAAGCCACAAAGGACAAGGAUAAGGGAGGCAACAAAGGCUUUGAAGCCACGUACAAUAAAGACACCAGAUCCUUCCACUUGAAGAAAGCCUCAGUGCAGGCGUCAGACUCGGCUGUGUACUACUGUGCUCUGAGUGACACAGUGGCAGGAACUGCAGGGGGAGCUGAGCACAAACUCUGAGUGAUGACAAGGGAACUGGCUGCUCAGUGUCUGGUUCUGGGAGCAUUUUCAUUUCUGCAUAGUGUGUGAUGUGUACCAUUCUGUUUCUCUCAUUGAUGUAAUGUCACACAAACAUCCAGAGCAGAAGACAAGACGUAGGUAUCACCUACCGACAGCUCUUCAGUAGUAACACAAGAAAUAGCUUCUGUCACCAAUAGUUCCUCAUGCAAAGGGUAAUUUCAAGGUAAAACCAUGUAGACAGUUUAUCUUUGCAGACACGGUCCAGCCCCACUCUGGUCACAGGGUAUCCUGGAAAAUUUUGCUGUCUCACACAUUUAGGCAGCUAAGUGUGAUAGAGAAAGGGGCUUCCUUAUAGUGUUUCCCUAACAGAAUGAGGGACAAGAAACAACAAGCUAGCUACAGUCCCCACCUCCAAACCCUUUGGGCAAAUCAGAAGGUGGGCACAAGAUGAUGUUCAAAAGAAACGGAGGGAGAAAUGCACAACUGUAGAAAUAACUCAUGUCUAAAUGGUGAGUGCCUACGGCUAGUGCACAGAUAGUUGGCUUGUAAGAAAGCGGAAAGGGAGUUAGGUUUCAGGACAAGGGGAGGUGAAGCUUAUAUUUUUAUCUUUUAUCUUUAUGAAAUAUUGUUAGAAAGACAGUAACAAAGUUAAAGGGCACAAACUGAGAGAGUAUAGAGAAGAAGAUGACAGCUGUAGAGUCUGUACAAGUCCACAAGAUGAGCAAGUGUGUGGAAAAGGAAAGACUGUAUCCCAGCCUGGAGAAAAAUGUACCUCGGCCUAGUGAGGGACCCCACUAAGGCCCAUCAUGUGUUGGCCCCCCCGGAGCCUUCUUUGGGUGGGUUAGGUGUCUGAAGAUCUGAUUGGGUGCAAAACACUGGAGAAGAUGGUGUGCAUCUGGUAAAGAUAUUUGAAAGUGAGAGGAUGAAGGAGUAGACCCAGUGGACAGAAGUGUGUGAUUAAAAGGUCAUCCGUGCUCUCUACUGCAGCUGGAACAGUAAAAGAAAAAUCAUUUUCCAAAGCCAGAAGAGAGUUAAAAUGUCUUUAAUGAAUUGAGGACCAGCAGGUUUAAAUGUAAGAGAACAAAAACAUUAUAAUAGAUAAAUAUAAUAUUUAAUUACUCGAUAUAGGACAGUGAUAAGUUAUUCAAGAAAUGAGCUUACCUUUUGGUUCAGAAUACUGUCACCUGAUAGCUUCCACCAAGUUACACCCUCAGUGACAUGGACUAGGCAGAAUGUACCUUUUUUCCAAAACUUGUGUAUUAUCAACCAUUUGUUGAUCUUCAAGACUUAAAUAUUAGCAUUUCCUAUAUGGAGCUUUACUUAGUGUAUUUAACUCAUUUAUAUGUUCUGUAUAUUGUCCGUGCAUAUGCAUGCCCAUUUUAAAUGAUAUAUUCUCUGUUUUUAAUGUUAACAUUUGAUCCAGUAAUUUUAUAUUUACAACUUUUUGUUCUUUUUUAGAUACUUAAUUUUUAAGAGUAGUUUUAGGUUACAGAAAAGCUGAAAGAAAAGGUACUGCAUCACAGGGUUCACUAGAAAAACAAAUUGAUAUUUAAUGUUUGCUCUUUUAGAUUUUGUUCUUGCCCUGGUCUGAUUGUUUUCUUUUUCCAUUCCCCAGUUUCGUAUGUGAAUGUUUAUCUUGUGCCACUUUUAUUUUGGGAGUAUAUAAUAUGCAUUUUGAUUUUUAUAAAAGUUUUUAGCUAAGUAUUUGCCAUGCAUGUGUUAGAGAUUCUGGACAUGGACAUUUGAGCAGUCUGGAAUUACAGAGACUUUGAAAACUCUUGGAGAUGGACUGAAUAUACUUUGUAUUACUAGGUUGACAUGAGUCUUCCGGACCUGGAGUGGAAUGUUACAGUUUGGAUUGAAAUAUUUCUCUAAACUCAUGCAACAAGGCUUGGUUACCAAGUAAUGAGCCUUGUGCAAGUCAUUGUAUAAUGAAAGCUAUAACUUCAUUAAGUGAAUACAUUCACUGAAGACAUUAUAAUCUGAUAGUAUUAUUGGGAGGUGAUGGAAACAGAAGGCGGGGCCUAACUGA
Cavia porcellus (domestic guinea pig) is the source of this 2526-nucleotide non-coding RNA. The record is from the annotation of a RefSeq genome assembly. Lineage: Eukaryota; Metazoa; Chordata; Mammalia; Rodentia; Caviidae.